This 1106-nucleotide long non-coding RNA is filed under the name Oryctolagus cuniculus (rabbit). RNAcentral describes it as "lncRNA (ENSOCUG00000038613.1)". The record is from RNAcentral. Lineage: Eukaryota; Metazoa; Chordata; Mammalia; Lagomorpha; Leporidae.
AUGCUAGUGCUGCCAGUCAGCUUCCUGCCCCCCCCCCCACGGACUGGGCCCCACCUCGCACUGAGCUCCCGGCGGCCCGGGCACGCGCCUCGUCCCUGCCCCUGUGAGGGGGCUGCACUCCGGGCUCUGCACGCGCACCGGCUUCCCCCGGGCUCUGGCUGCCGCCUGCCGUCCACACCAACACACACACACCAUGGCCGUUCCCACACCUGCAGGGCCACACUCAGGAUGGGGCCGAGGGCACCAGGCACGGCCACUCCAUGCACCCACACUGGGGGAAGGGGAGACGAGCCAGACGUGCAGCCCGAGCGGCCGAUCACAGGUGCUUUAUUGGGGGUGGCAGCCCGGCGUCGCUCAGCUACAACCUGCGGACGGAGGACAGGGGCUGAGCAGGGGCCCUCGGUCCGGCCCUGUUUCCCUCUGGGAGCCCUGCCCGCCCCACUCCAGGUCUGGGGGUGUCCCGUGGGCUGUCCGGGGGAGCGCAGCACAAACGCCUGCCCCACUCACUGGAUCUCGCGGAACGCCCGCUUCUCCACCAGCUUCACUUUGUACUUGCGCUUGAACCUGGAAGAGGAGGAGCAGUCAGGGCGGAGGGCGGACCCCGCAGGCCCGGCGCCCACCCUGCCCCACCACCCCACACACGCUCCCCCAGGCCCCGCCCCUCCCGGGCCCCGCCCUCACUUGGCGCGCUCCCGGGGCUCGAUCAUGUUCCUCCUCUGGAAGCUCUUGAAGCGGUCCCGCAGGAUGUUGCCCUCGGGCUGCGGGGCAGGGGGGAGGGGGGCUCAGCUCCAGGGGCUCGGGGCGGGGGGAGGGGGGCUCAGCUCCAGGGGCUCGGGGACAGUGGAGGGGCCUGCAGUUCUGGGCAUAGGACAACCCCUGCAGGAUGCUGGGAAACCAGGGACCACCACCCCGCCCCUCAGCACCCUGUGCCCUCAGCCCCUGGACACUGGCCCACCUGGCCCAGUCCAGGGGUAGCCAAGGUGUCGCCCACAGCCCCGGGGGGCACGGGGAGCAAGGAUGGGGUCAUCACCGGGCACAGGGUCCCCGCAGCCCACCCCCCACCUCCCCCCCCAGCAGGCACCUUCAGCGUCCUGAGCGAGUCGGAC